GAUGAACGCUGGCGGCGUGCCUAAUACAUGCAAGUCGAGCGAACAGACGAGGAGCUUGCUCCUCUGACGUUAGCGGCGGACGGGUGAGUAACACGUGGAUAACCUACCUAUAAGACUGGGAUAACUUCGGGAAACCGGAGCUAAUACCGGAUAAUAUAUUGAACCGCAUGGUUCAAUAGUGAAAGACGGUUUUGCUGUCACUUAUAGAUGGAUCCGCGCCGCAUUAGCUAGUUGGUAAGGUAACGGCUUACCAAGGCAACGAUGCGUAGCCGACCUGAGAGGGUGAUCGGCCACACUGGAACUGAGACACGGUCCAGACUCCUACGGGAGGCAGCAGUAGGGAAUCUUCCGCAAUGGGCGAAAGCUUGACGGAGCAACGCCGCGUGAGUGAUGAAGGUCUUCGGAUCGAAAAACUCUGUUAUUAGGAAAGAACAAAUGUGUAAGUAACUAGGCACGUCUUGACGGUACCUAAUCAGAAAGCCACGGCUAACUACGUG
This 497-nucleotide ribosomal RNA is filed under the name uncultured bacterium. RNAcentral's name for it is "partial 16S ribosomal RNA". It matches the Rfam family "Bacterial small subunit ribosomal RNA", at positions 28 to 507 of the family's 1533-position model. The record is from RNAcentral.